GUCAGCGCAGCGCUGGGAUCAUGGCUGGAGAGCUGCAGCGAAGCUUGCGAUGGGGAUGGCGCUUGCCCGCCUGUUCCUGACCGGGAGCAGCCAGGGGCAGGCCGUGGGGAGCUGCAGAGGUCGCAGGACGCCAGCACUGCUGUCCUGGAAAGGCUCAUGGGGCUAGAGGCUGAGGUCAAGUAUGUCAGCACUGAGCUGCGUGCAGAGAAAUUACUGUGGAGCAGCAGGUACCUGGAGCUGCUGAGGGAGCAGCAGGAGCUCCGUGAACAGUUCCAGGAGUGGGGACGGAGCCAGGGGCCCGAGGCCAAGGACACCCUGGAGAUGCAGAGCAAAGCCGAGGCUCCCAGUGCGGAUGGAUCUGAUGGGUGGUGCAUGGGAGACAGCAGCUGGGGCCUCCAGACGCUGUCAGGUGAAGAAACCUCCGGGGG
Dermochelys coriacea (leatherback sea turtle) is the source of this 428-nucleotide long non-coding RNA. RefSeq lists it as uncharacterized. The record is from RefSeq and is a predicted model, not a curated record. The transcript has 3 exons. NCBI's taxonomy places the organism in Eukaryota, Metazoa, Chordata, Testudines, Dermochelyidae.